GAGCAAAAAAAGACCGGGCACAAAUCCUGUGACCGGUCCAGGGAAAUGGCUCAGAGAGCCGUGCGCUAAAAAUUGGCAUCACGAGGUAGUUGGCCUCAUAAAGUAAUCAUAGUUGAGUUUUGCCUUAUUUCCAGCGC
RNAcentral lists this small RNA (137 nucleotides) under Tatumella morbirosei. Lineage: Bacteria; Pseudomonadati; Pseudomonadota; Gammaproteobacteria; Enterobacterales; Erwiniaceae. The record is from RNAcentral.